UACGUAGGGUGCGAGCGUUGUCCGGAAUUACUGGGCGUAAAGAGCUCGUAGGUGGUUUGUCACGUCGUCUGUGAAAUUCCGGGGCUUAACCUCGGGCGUGCAGGCGAUACGGGCAAUACUUGAGUGCUGUAGGGGAGACUGGAAUUCCUGGUGUAGCGGUGAAAUGCGCAGAUAUCAGGAAGAACACCAGUGGCGAAGGCGGCUUUCUGGUCUGCACCUGACGCUGAGAGGCGAAGGCCAGGGUAGCGAACGGGCUUAGAUACCCCU
This 267-nucleotide ribosomal RNA is filed under the name uncultured prokaryote. RNAcentral describes it as "partial 16S ribosomal RNA". It matches the Rfam family "Bacterial small subunit ribosomal RNA", at positions 524 to 789 of the family's 1533-position model. The record is from RNAcentral.